UUCCGAGCUUGCAAAGAUUUCCGGCUUUGAAAAGAUGUUGACACUUUGAGGACCGAAUGACAUUCAAGCAAAGGCGGGAACAAUACACAGCUAGCCAAUCAUGUUUCACAUGAUGUUCAGAAUCACGUGCAAGUGCUUCUAUCGAUUGCUUACGCGUUCCAGAAACCAGGAAGUGACUUGAUUUACAGGCGCACAUGAGUAGGUUGAACAAAUUCAAAUGAAUCGUCUCGUUUAGUCGUAGCUACUUGUCUUCCUACAAACAGCUAUUCAAAAUGAACAUAUCAGAAAAUGGAGCAGUAGGCGAUGCCAUUACAGUGCACAAUAUCUCAGAGAAGAUUCGGGAGCAAACGGUUCACUUUCACGUCAUGAAACUCAAUGUUUUUUUUCUCUCCUUUGGUUCGGCUCGAACCCCGUCUUGUCCAACUUGGCUGUUUCAAUGGAAAGUACAUUUCUGAGUAGCCUACUGUACAACAAAUACACUGUUACAAAGCAGACUAGCAAACAGAGAUUGGAAGCUAGCUAGCUUCACUGUGUAAUGUUUCUAGCUCGCUACGUUAAAGGUAUUAUAUCAGGUGUGUGUGUAUUCAGGAUUCGAUGCCGCUGUCUAAGUUAGUCCUGGAGGACCCAUCUGAAACCACCCAGAAUUCACUGGCGCAGAAAUUGACUAAGAGGACUAAGAAACGGGUGUUUGAGCUACAAUCUGCCCAUGACCGACUCCAACCUGUCUCUGCUGGUGGAGAAUAGGAUAAAGAAGGAGAUGGAAGUUCACAUGGAUACAUUUUAAUCUUUCCCCCAUUUUUAUAUUUACCUUUUACCAAAAUAAUAGAAUGGAGAGAACAACAUUA
Molecule: long non-coding RNA, 845 nt
Organism: Oncorhynchus masou masou (cherry salmon)
Lineage: Eukaryota; Metazoa; Chordata; Actinopteri; Salmoniformes; Salmonidae
Exons: 2
Source: RefSeq, a predicted model, not a curated record